RNAcentral lists this long non-coding RNA (206 nucleotides) under Phoenix dactylifera (date palm). RNAcentral's name for it is "long non-coding RNA (PDAC_LNC013033)". Lineage: Eukaryota; Viridiplantae; Streptophyta; Magnoliopsida; Arecales; Arecaceae. The record is from RNAcentral.
GUAUUUGAAAAGAUAAGGAUCAUCCCAGAAGAAAUUUUUUAUUUCGGUCAGAAAUUUUCUUUUGUCCUGUUUAUUCCAAUGAAUCGGGAGUUCACCCGUGACAAGAAAAUUUGCAAUGUCUGCAAACCAGGGUGACGACGUGAUCUCAAAGAGUUGCUCAUCAGGGAAAGUGUCUCUUAUGGGUGAAUUGUCUAUGGAAUCUGGAA